UCCCCCCUGAUGCCCGAAAAAGUUAUAAAAAACAUCUGUGAUAUUGUUGACUGAUGUCCCAACGAGAUCACUCCAUCGACCGAUCACUCUCACCGACAAAAUCAGUGACAAAAUCUGAUCUUUGUUCCCCCAGUCCAAUAAAUGGCGGCUCGACAAUGGCCGCCAUUAUUCCCAUUUCCAAGAUCGCUAAAAAGAAGCCAUUUUCAAAAUAUGGCUGCCCCCUGACAUCAUAAUGGCGUUGCUACGAUCAAAACAAACAACAGAUACUGUCAAUGGAGAUCGCCGGUAUUUCAAUAGUCAAAAAAUCCCCCAAAUGUCACUCCUAAACAUAUUUAUCACAUUUCUACGUGCUCGAAUACGCAGUUAUCGAUUGGAUUAAACCGGAAGUGCGUAGUCACCGUCGGUGUAUCCAAGUGGCAUCUUAACACGAACGUGUGAGUGAAAUAACUCGAGGGAUAAAAAAAAUUAUUGCCCUGUCGGUGGUAUUUGAUCGUAAACGCUGAGGGGAUCACCACCGACAAUUUCCUCUUGCGUCUGUAGUAUGAUUUCCUCACGUCCUGGCUCGGGGAGUGGUUGAAGAGAUAUUAUUGGCUGACCAUCAUCACCCUCAAUUGUUGUUUCAACAGUUUCGCACGGUAUUUCAACUGGUAUCGUUUCAAUUUCUACCUCUUGGAUGUCCGGUUGUAUUUCAACUUCGGUUAUUAUGUCCGAGGACGCCAUAUUAAUCUCGCCUGACGCCAUGUUACUAAUCAAAA
Diachasmimorpha longicaudata is the source of this 755-nucleotide long non-coding RNA. RefSeq lists it as uncharacterized. Lineage: Eukaryota; Metazoa; Arthropoda; Insecta; Hymenoptera; Braconidae. The record is from RefSeq and is a predicted model, not a curated record. The transcript has 2 exons.